GAUGGCACUUGUCAACAGUAAAAAUAAACUGACAUCAAAAUCGCAAGCAAAGAACCAGCAAGCGGAGCGAAAGCUGAAUACUACGAGAAGGAACGGCGGAGAGACGGAAACCAGAUACAAACAAAAUCGCCAAACGUCUGUUACAUAGAAAAAAUGCAAAGCAACAAAAGCACGCGGCGAAGCACGGUGCCAGAGCAAAAAUAAUGAAUACUACUACUACUACUACUACUACUUAGAUUUAUUCUGAUCAUUUAGGCGAUAACGAUGGAACACAUGACGAUUGUAUAUCAUUAUGGUAAUAUAAUUCAUUUGUAUACGCAUCAGUGUAAAAUGG
This 334-nucleotide long non-coding RNA is filed under the name Varroa destructor (honeybee mite). Its description in RNAcentral is "uncharacterized LOC111252947, transcript variant X2". The record is from RNAcentral. Lineage: Eukaryota; Metazoa; Arthropoda; Arachnida; Mesostigmata; Varroidae.